Molecule: ribosomal RNA, 302 nt
Filed under: uncultured bacterium
Lineage: Bacteria
Description: partial 16S ribosomal RNA
Rfam family: Bacterial small subunit ribosomal RNA
Source: RNAcentral
GCAGUAGCCACGGUAAUACAGAGGGUGCGAGCGUUAAUCGGAUUUACUGGGCGUAAAGCGUGCGUAGGCGGCUUCUUAAGUCGGAUGUGAAAUCCCUGAGCUUAACUUAGGAAUUGCAUUCGAUACUGGGAAGCUAGAGUAUGGGAGAGGAUGGUAGAAUUCCAGGUGUAGCGGUGAAAUGCGUAGAGAUCUGGAGGAAUACCGAUGGCGAAGGCAGCCAUCUGGCCUAAUACUGACGCUGAGGUACGAAAGCAUGGGGAGCAAACAGGAUUAGAUACCCGUGUAGUCCCUGUCUCUUAUAA